GAGCUGCUGAGACAGAUCACCUGCACAGGUCAUCACUGCCUCCCCACCUUGUCCCAACCAGCAUCCCAGAGGAGCGAUGGUCCUGGGGACUAGACAAUAGAGACGCGGAUGUGAAAGAGGCACUGGUCUUGCCCUGGGGCCAGCUAUUGCCAGCCAGCCUUGAUCGACACCAAAGACGCCUAAUCUCUCUCUGGCCCGAGGGGAGCAGCAGCGUUUGUGAAACAGAUUUUUACAAAAUGUUUUGACCCUGCUUUCCCCUCCCCCCCCACAUCCCUGCCUGGCACCGUGUCACCUAAUUAAAUCAGCCUUCGCGGGCGACUCAGCUUCCUGCUAAUUGUGCUCUGAGCCUGCUUCCGGAGGCCGCUCUCCCCACCCCCUAGCCACCACCCCAACUCCGGAGGGCAGCGCAUCGGUGGGGCGGGGUGAGGGGGGAGCUCUGAGGGGUGCAGAGGCUCUUAGGAGGCACUUGUGGUCUUCCUGCGAGUUGGUCUGCAAUCGGGGAGACUGAGUCACCCGGCCUCUGCUUGGCCAGCCUUGAUGCCCAGGGACCCGAGUCCAGGUCUGAAAUGACCCUGGGUCUCGGGGAGACCAGCUCGAGCGUAUCCGAGUAAUUGUCUCCACCAGACGGAGGGAGAGCGAGGCUACGCGGAUUCUGGAAAAUCCCAGGUUUCCUUCCUCUUUACCAGCUGCACUGGCCCCGCCUAGGCCAGUUUUCUGGUUCCUUCCCAGGCCUGUAGGCCGAUGGGAGCGCGCUGCCUCUGUCCAUGGUGCUGAACACGCUCCAAUCCACUAUGCCUCCAAAUUUGCCCCAAGAGAGCAAUGACUAAAAGCAACCUGGGUGACUAACGUGCACCGGCCUAAGAGCUUCCAAGCUCUGUUUAGUUUAACUCUCUCAGCACCCUGAGAAAGGAGACAUUACCAUUUUGAAGAUGAGAACAUGGAGACAGAAAGGUU
RNAcentral lists this long non-coding RNA (954 nucleotides) under Mus pahari (shrew mouse). Its description in RNAcentral is "lncRNA (MGP_PahariEiJ_G0004216.1)". The record is from RNAcentral. Lineage: Eukaryota; Metazoa; Chordata; Mammalia; Rodentia; Muridae.